GAUCUCUGGGCUGUUUCUGUCCCGAGCCUUCUCUUCAGCCAGAGCAGACACCGCUAUCCCUUUUGUGACCCUUGGGAGUGCUGGUGCAAAGGGAGCCCGGCACCUUGCACAGGGGAAACUCAUCCUCUGACAUAUCCCUGCCUGACAGCAGGGGUGGAUCCCCAAGGAUUCCAGCUGCUGCCAGGCGGUGCUUGUGGCAGCGGACUGGAGGGAUUGCAGUGAUGAGCAGAGGAAGCAGCCCCCUGGCUGCCGGCCAGCCAGCCCGCGUCCUCUCCAGGAACCGGCUUAUAAACGGCAGGGAAGUGAUGUAGUUCCACAGAACUGCUGAGGUCAACUGCUGAAGCCUGUUGUUUGAUGGGUUUCUAAAUAUUUUCCUCCAGGCCACGGAGACCAAAGCUGCCGAGAUAGAUGGAAGCGCUUUUUAAGAAGAGGGCAGGCUGCAUGUUGAGGUGCUAGAUGCCCAGCUCCCCGCGGUGUGGCACCCAGGGGACAGCAGGAGGGGACGGGGACACCAGGUUCAGGUUGUGCAACUGAGGCAGGAGCCGUUCUGCCAAAGUCACAUGAAGAAAGAGGGGCCAGUUUCCCAAUUUCUGCUGAUUCAUAGGCAAAAUCCCCCUGGAACAGCUGCUCCUUCCAGAUCCCACCCUCAAACCUACAAAAUAUCACAAUUGCUGCUGAUUGCAUGGGAUUCCUGGCAGUGACAGGGAAAAUGACACCAGAAAGGUUUCGUUUUUUAUAAAGUCAGAGGCAGAGAAGUAAUUCAAUGACCGGAGAGUCACUGCUAGGUCAUGGGGAGGCAGAUCACAUUUUAAUGCCUCACUUCUCUUGCCAAUAACGUGCUAGGGUGGUAGGACAAAAAAACAUGUGGGUUCAUCGAUUGUCAGCCUGGAAAGUGUUUGUGAUCAGUUAGGGUAAGCUCCUCACGGCACAGCCUCCAGCAUUCCCUGCAAGACUUUCGAUUUGAGCCACAGUUGCUCCUUCAGACAAGAAUUUAUGCAGAGUUUGUUGGCUUAGUGCUGAGUAUGUUUGGAAAGAGGUGGGGGUUUUAACCAUAACAGCUUGCUCUGAGAGAAAAAAAGAAAAAAACAGCAAAACAGGUUGAAGGCAGACUUGGUUUAAAAUAUGUUAGUGGCAAUAAAAACAUUCACAUUUGUUCCAGUAAAUUUAGCAUCCAAAAUGAAGCUUUAAUGCUACCUCUAUUUUGUUGUUGUUGUUCAUGUUGAACUUGCAUAUUUCGAAUGACAAAUGUGAAGAGAAUACUUUGAGAAAUUCAACUUUAAACGUUAAUAGGCUUUAAUUGUUAACAGUGACCUGUCUUACCCCAUCCCGUCCUGUCCUACCCUACGCCAGGUAUGUUUUCACCCUGCUCAGCAGAGAGGAAUGCGAAUGCCUUCUAACCAUGCACUAAAUGAUGCCGCUAGCAGCUGUCAUACCUGGUUUGCUCUCUUCCCUUAUCAGCUCCCCAGGGCAAGAUGUGUAUCUGAAAUGUGUUGGUAGAGGUGUUUAUUUUAGGCGUGCAUGCUGUUUGUAUUAGAUUAGGCAGAUUGAAGAGGUACACUUGAUGCUCGCAGUGAAUGACAAGACGCUUUUGCAAUUCCAAAUGUCGUCUUGGUUGUUUGCUGUAUUUAUUUCAACAUUUGUUUUCCACUUUUGUGGGGGGGGGGCUUUACCCCCCCAUCCCUAACACAAGCUGCUUCAUGCUUCUUUCCCAGAAUUCUCUAAAAACUAUUUUUUGUGACGCUACAUUAAAAAAUUGCUCGCCCUCUGCAAGGCAUCCCUAUCCCAAUCACAAGCCAGCGUCCUCCUCAUGACUUUCUGUCCAAAGUUGCUUUUUAACACAGGUUAUUUCUCCGACCUUGCUGGUGCGGCCGCUGUGCAAACAAGUUGCUUCAGCAAAGGGAAAGGGGGAGCAGCUGGGCUGGGGGACGAAGUGGGAAAUUCUUCAGCUGCUUUCGUUGCCAAACCUAACACAUCGUGUACCUACACCGUGGUCGCCAGGCUCUAAAAUAAAAUAAAUAAAUAAAUAAAUACGUAAGGAUAACAAAAAAGGGAACAAACAAACAAAACCCCUGUUGUACAGCAGCCGUGUCAUAUGCCCUCGAGCAUGUGGGAGAGGACAGCUGCCCUGAGCCUGGUCCUGUGAUGAGGUUUUCUGCACAAUGAGCCCUUUGCAUGAGCUCCUGUGACAGCAGCAGCAUAUCUGCUGUGCUGGGGUGUGUGACUGAGAGCGUGUUUCCUGCACUGAGCUAUUGGCUGUGAGGUCACCAGAAAGGGGGAAGUUCCCUCUGACACGCUGUUCCCCAUAACCAAAUGUAGGGUCAGAAUCCAGGCCCCUCAUUCCCAGAACCGAAAGGAGACAGAGGGAAAAACUCACGACCUUGCUGAAAGACAGGAGGCUCGAUUUCUUGUCCCACAAGAAAUUGUUCUAAAUCUGGACUAAAGACCGCUGGGAAAGCUGUCCUGGGAGCACAGGGGUGGAAAUUGUGGGUCUAUCUAAGACCAGGACAGCGGGUCUGUGCACCCCAUUGCAGCAAUGCCAGCAUGGACUGCCUGCUAGGCUGGAUUCAGUCAGAUGAGCCGUGCUGGUGUAAGCAUGGAGUACCCAUGCUCGGGGAACGCACUGCUUCCACUUCAACUUGUCUGAUGGCACCGGUGUGAAAGCUACAGGCGAGCCUCAGCAGCCUCAGAUCCCAGGGAAUCGUUUUCUGACGAGGGGCCACGCCAAGGAAAGGCAAGACGGCACUUGUUCCGUCAGCAGAGGAAAGUUGUCAUACGAGAAAUACCAUUACGGCAAGGCUAGCGGCCUACGGGACUUGCAAUGCUCAGCUACCCCACCGGCAGGUCGUUUUUUUAUCCAAGAGCAGCGAGGUUUCCAAGUUGUCAUCGCCCUGUGCUGAGUCCUCUGGCUACGAAGAAAAAAGGAUGUUGUUUCUCUUUGGGUCAGGGCGAGGAAUGUUUCCUUCCAGUAGUAGAUGAAAUCUCCCUUGAGUUUCCCUUGAAUUCAUAGGAUUCAGGACACAUGAAUUCAUUUGUUCCUCUGAGCCUGGAAAUUGCAAGCAUUGUCAGGGAGACCUCCUCGUUUGCCAGUGAAAUGAAUGUUUCAGGGACAUGCAUGCAAGAGCUCCUUCCAGCAACGCACACACAAAGACCUCCUCGAAGGAGUCCCUGGAGAAGACCAUGCGAGCUCCCUGCACGGAGCUAAGCUCGCCCCCAUCAAAGCCCCGUGAUAUUCCCUGUAAAAUAGCAACAGAAGGUCGCCGCGCCGCUCUGCUGGCUGCUGGAGAUUGCGGGGAAGGAAGUCCUUUCGUUUCAACCCUUCCUGCUGCAAUAAAAUUCAGAAGGAGAUGAAAACCAGCACUGACAAUAGAGGUAUUUAAAGAGAGGGAGCUUUUUGAUGAGACAGAUGGCAACUGUAAUUAACUUCGGCAUUUUCUCCUAUAAACCACAGAGUUUAAAAUCAAUUAGCUGGCUUUUUUUUUUUCUCGCUUUUUUUUU
Anas platyrhynchos (mallard) is the source of this 3495-nucleotide non-coding RNA. Lineage: Eukaryota; Metazoa; Chordata; Aves; Anseriformes; Anatidae. The record is from RefSeq and is a predicted model, not a curated record.